This 200-nucleotide ribosomal RNA is filed under the name uncultured bacterium. RNAcentral describes it as "partial 16S ribosomal RNA". It matches the Rfam family "Bacterial small subunit ribosomal RNA", at positions 28 to 224 of the family's 1533-position model. The record is from RNAcentral.
GACGAACGCUGGCGGCGUGCUUAGCACAUGCAAGUCGAGCGAGGCCCCUUCUCUUCGGAGAGGGUGCCCUAGCGGCGAACGGGUGAGUAACACGUGGGCAACCUGCCCCUAGCACUGGGAUAACUCCGGGGAAACCGGGGCUAAUACCGGAUACGACCUCUGAGGGCAUCCUCCGGAGGUGGAAAGCAUUGUGGCUAGGG